UACGUAGGGUGCAAGCGUUGUCCGGAAUUAUUGGGCGUAAAGAGCUCGUAGGCGGUUUGUCGCGUCUGCUGUGAAAACCCGAGGCUCAACCUCGGGCCUGCAGUGGGUACGGGCAGACUAGAGUGCGGUAGGGGAGAUUGGAAUUCCUGGUGUAGCGGUGGAAUGCGCAGAUAUCAGGAGGAACACCAAUGGCGAAGGCAGAUCUCUGGGCCGUGACUGACGCUGAGGAGCGAAAGCAUGGGGAGCGAACAGG
RNAcentral lists this ribosomal RNA (253 nucleotides) under uncultured bacterium. RNAcentral's name for it is "partial 16S ribosomal RNA". It matches the Rfam family "Bacterial small subunit ribosomal RNA", at positions 524 to 776 of the family's 1533-position model. The record is from RNAcentral.